RNAcentral lists this ribosomal RNA (450 nucleotides) under uncultured Proteiniphilum sp. RNAcentral describes it as "bacterial SSU rRNA". It matches the Rfam family "Bacterial small subunit ribosomal RNA", at positions 930 to 1382 of the family's 1533-position model. Lineage: Bacteria; Pseudomonadati; Bacteroidota; Bacteroidia; Bacteroidales; Dysgonomonadaceae. The record is from RNAcentral.
CGGUGGAGCAUGUGGUUUAAUUUCGAUGAUACGCGAGGAACUUACCUGGGCUCAAAUGUAUGUUGACGUAUUCUGAAAGGGAUACUUCUUCGGACAAUAUACAAGGUGCUGCAUGGUUGUCGUCAGCUCGUGCCGUGAGGUGUCGGGUUAAGUCCCAUAACGAGCGCAACCCCUAUCAUUAGUUACCAUCAGGUAAGGCUGGGGACUCUAAUGAGACUGCCAUCGUAAGAUGUGAGGAAGGUGGGGAUGACGUCAAAUCAGCACGGCCCUUACGUCCGGGGCGACACACGUGUUACAAUGGGUGGUACAAAGGGCAGCUACCUGGCGACAGGAUGCUAAUCUCCAAAACCACUCUCAGUUCGGAUCGGAGUCUGCAACUCGACUCCGUGAAGCUGGAUUCGCUAGUAAUCGCGCAUCAGCCACGGCGCGGUGAAUACGUUCCCGGGCCUU